UCAGCAAGUACCGUAAACAGAAGCAGCCACCCCGUGGACAUGUGCCAUUUUGAACAUUUCCAGGGGGGUGACUGCUUCUGUUUACGGUACUUGCUGA
Molecule: non-coding RNA, 97 nt
Organism: Paramuricea clavata
Lineage: Eukaryota; Metazoa; Cnidaria; Anthozoa; Malacalcyonacea; Plexauridae
Source: the annotation of a GenBank genome assembly